AUAUCUCUCUGUACGGGAAGGAUGAGAAGCUUCGACUAAGGUUCGAUUCGAGCGAAAGCGAGAAAGCGUUGC
RNAcentral lists this small RNA (72 nucleotides) under Salmonella enterica. Its description in RNAcentral is "partial RtT sRNA". It matches the Rfam family "RtT RNA", at positions 1 to 71 of the family's 130-position model. From Rfam's summary of the family: This family represents a bacterial cis-regulatory element known as RtT RNA. Lineage: Bacteria; Pseudomonadati; Pseudomonadota; Gammaproteobacteria; Enterobacterales; Enterobacteriaceae. The record is from RNAcentral.